This 89-nucleotide transfer RNA is filed under the name Desulfobacterales bacterium. RNAcentral describes it as "tRNA-Leu". It matches the Rfam family "tRNA". Rfam says of the family: Transfer RNA (tRNA) molecules are approximately 80 nucleotides in length. Their secondary structure includes four short double-helical elements and three loops (D, anti-codon, and T loops). RNAcentral also lists the same sequence under 2 other names. Lineage: Bacteria; Pseudomonadati; Thermodesulfobacteriota; Desulfobacteria; Desulfobacterales. The record is from RNAcentral.
GCCUGGGUGGCGGAAUUGGUAGACGCAAGGGACUUAAAAUCCCUCGAGGCUCAGUCCUUGUGCGGGUUCGAUUCCCGCCCCAGGCACCA